This 579-nucleotide ribosomal RNA is filed under the name Sporothrix fusiformis. RNAcentral describes it as "partial large subunit ribosomal RNA". It matches the Rfam family "Eukaryotic large subunit ribosomal RNA", at positions 37 to 625 of the family's 3401-position model. Lineage: Eukaryota; Fungi; Ascomycota; Sordariomycetes; Ophiostomatales; Ophiostomataceae. The record is from RNAcentral.
UGCAUAUCCAAAAAGCGGAGCAAAAGAAACCAACAGGGAUUGCCCCAGUAACGGCGAGUGAAGCGGCAACAGCUCAAAUUUGAAAUCUGGCCCCCCGGCCCGAGUUGUAAUUUGGAGAGGAUGCUUUUGGCACGGCGCCGUCCGAGUUCCUUGGAACAGGACGCCACAGAGGGUGAGAGCCCCGUACGGACGGACGCCUAGCCUCUACAAAGCUCCUUCGACGAGUCGAGUAGUUUGGGAAUGCUGCUCAAAAUGGGAGGUAAAUUUCUUCUAAAGCUAAAUACCGGCCAGAGACCGAUAGCGCACAAGUAGAGUGAUCGAAAGAUGAAAAGCACUUUGAAAAGAGGGUUAAAAAGUACGUGAAAUUGUUGAAAGGGAAGCGCCUGUGACCAGACUUGCGCCCCGUGGACCAUCCGGCGUUCUCGCCGGUGCACUCCGCGGGGCGCAGGCCAGCAUCGGUUCUCCUAGGGGGAUAAAGGCCGCGGGAACGUAGCUCCUUCGGGAGUGUUAUAGCCCGUGGUGGCAUGCCCCUGGGGGGACCGAGGACCGCGCUUCGGCAAGGAUGCUACGUAGACAACG